Small nuclear RNA from Gorilla gorilla gorilla (western lowland gorilla), 104 nucleotides. The record is from RefSeq and is a predicted model, not a curated record. NCBI's taxonomy places the organism in Eukaryota, Metazoa, Chordata, Mammalia, Primates, Hominidae.
GUGCUCACUUUGGCAACACAUAUACUAAAAUUGGAAUGAUACAGAGAUUAGUGUGGCUCCUGUGGAAGGAUGACAUGCAAAUUCAUAAAGUAUUCCAUUAAAAA